RNAcentral lists this long non-coding RNA (1142 nucleotides) under Equus asinus (donkey). Its description in RNAcentral is "lncRNA (ENSEASG00005035811.1)". The record is from RNAcentral. Lineage: Eukaryota; Metazoa; Chordata; Mammalia; Perissodactyla; Equidae.
UCCUGCUCCAAAACCUUCUAGGGCCCCCCGUGCAGAAUCUGCAGCCUGGCACAGACUCUGCCUCAGUUUCCUCUCCUUUCUCCUGCCCCUGCCCAGCAGCCAUCCAGACCUCUCAAAGCUCAGCAGACAAGCCCCAAACUUUCACAUAGGCAGGGCCCCCCACCAGGAGGGCCUUUUCCCUCCCAAGGGAAGUGGCCCCGCCCACAGCCCCUAACCAAUGGAAGCCACAGCUGAUUGGAGGAGACCUGACUAGUGGCAGCCAAUCAACAGGCAAAUCCCAAACCCCAUCGUGACUCCAAAUACUGAGCUGGACCAAUCAGAUGUUCUUCUGGGAAUUUGAAGUGUGACAACUGAAGCUGAGACAAGGACCUUAAGCAGCAGGAUGUGAGUCAGCAAGAAGCACCAAGCCUGGUGUUAAGGAGAAAGCUACAGGAUCUACUAACAAGGGAGUCAGUGUCAUAGAACUGAGGCAGUGGACAGAAUGUCAUCAGGACUGGACACAUCCCCAGCCCACUCCCUGCUGGCCAGGGGCUCUAGAAGCGGCCAGACAACCUGGAGUGGAUUCUCAAACAGACGCCCACUGAUCUCACCCCAGGACAAUCCGGCCCUUGCCCACCUUCCCAGCCUCGGUGCUCACUGUCCAGCCACUUGACCCCUUGCAUCCCUGCAGAUCACAAAUACCAUGCUUUCCCCCUCACCACAGGGCCUUUGCACAGACUGUUCUCUCUGCCUGGACCACCCUCACCAUACUUUUCUCCAUCCAACAAACUUUUAUAUACUCAGAGUUUACAUCCUGCUAAAUCUUCAACAUCCCCAAGUAUUGGGAGUUAAUAUUAUCACUCCCAUUUUACAGAAGAAGCUGAAGCACAGACGGGGCUAACCCUGCACUGUCCCAUUUAGCAACCUCUGUCCUCACAUGUGGCUCUUGAGCACUGGAAAUGUGGCUGAUCCAAAUGGAUAUAUUCCAUGAGUGUAAAAUACACCCUGAAUUUCAAACACUUGGUAUGCAAAAAAGAAUGGAAAACAUCUCAUUAACUUUUUCUAGAUUGAUCCUAUGCUGAAAUCAUAUUUUAGAUAUGCUGGGUUAAAGAAAAUACAUUCCUGUGGCUAAUCUCACCCAUCAUUUAACUUUUCUUUCUUUC